This 449-nucleotide unclassified non-coding RNA is filed under the name Hevea brasiliensis (rubber tree). Lineage: Eukaryota; Viridiplantae; Streptophyta; Magnoliopsida; Malpighiales; Euphorbiaceae. The record is from RNAcentral.
AAUUUUUUUUUUUUUAUCAAUCUAGUUGUUUGGUUGAAUCUAUUUGCAAAUUCCUGUUUUGAUGAGGUCUACACUUCAAUGUUGUCCAUAACUAUGACUUUUGUUUCUAUGAAUUAACUGUUGGCUUGUUGUAGUUCUUGAGUUUUGUUUGUUGGUGGUGGAAUGGGAAUAAAACAGAUGGACCGAACCAAACCGAGAAUUUCAAUUUGGUUCACUUCAGUUCUACCCCAUUGAUCGGUUCAAUUCAGUUGGCAAUAAAAGGUAAUUCAGUUUUCCGGUUUUGCCAAUUUGGUUUGGAACUGAAUCGACUGAACGCUCACCUAUAUAUAGAACUUUCUAAUAUAUAUACACACACACAUAUAUAUAAUAUAUAUACUGACAUGCAAUUAUGAGUAUACAAAUACAUCAAAAAAGUUCAACAAUACCUUUCAAAUGCUAAAACAAAGUGA